UUAGGCCCCACUCAAUCUAAUUAAGUGGGGAGGGUUGGGUCCAAGUGCUAGGAUUCAAUCCUAUUCAAAAUAGGAUUUGCACCCAUUUCAAUUUCCUCCAAAUCCUAAUCUAAUUAGGAUUUAAUUAAACCAUGACUCAAUUAAACUCUUUUAAUCUAAUUAGAAAUCUUUUAAUUAAUUAGAUUAAAAUUAAAAUUAAUUAGAACUUAAGAAAAUCCUAAUCUAAUUAGGACUUAUUAAAUUUCAGCCCUAAGGCAAUUAGGACUUUAGA
RNAcentral lists this long non-coding RNA (271 nucleotides) under Phoenix dactylifera (date palm). RNAcentral describes it as "long non-coding RNA (PDAC_LNC010635)". The record is from RNAcentral. Lineage: Eukaryota; Viridiplantae; Streptophyta; Magnoliopsida; Arecales; Arecaceae.